RNAcentral lists this ribosomal RNA (1165 nucleotides) under Subtercola sp. RNAcentral describes it as "bacterial SSU rRNA". It matches the Rfam family "Bacterial small subunit ribosomal RNA", at positions 62 to 1237 of the family's 1533-position model. Lineage: Bacteria; Bacillati; Actinomycetota; Actinomycetes; Micrococcales; Microbacteriaceae. The record is from RNAcentral.
UCGNACGAUGAAGGGGUGCUUGCAUCUUGGAUUAGUGGCGAACGGGUGAGUAACACGUGAGUAACCUGCCCUUGACUCUGGGAUAAGCGUUGGAAACGACGUCUAAUACCGGAUAUGACGACCGAGCGCCUGUUCUGGUUGUGGAAAGAUUUUUUGGUCAAGGAUGGACUCGCGGCCUAUCAGGUUGUUGGUGAGGUAAUGGCUCACCAAGCCUACGACGGGUAGCCGGCCUGAGAGGGUGACCGGCCACACUGGGACUGAGACACGGCCCAGACUCCUACGGGAGGCAGCAGUGGGGAAUAUUGCACAAUGGGCGAAAGCCUGAUGCAGCAACGCCGCGUGAGGGAUGACGGCCUUCGGGUUGUAAACCUCUUUUAGUAAGGAAGAAGAACUUCGGUUUGACGGUACUUGCAGAAAAAGCACCGGCUAACUACGUGCCAGCAGCCGCGGUAAUACGUAGGGUGCAAGCGUUGUCCGGAAUUAUUGGGCGUAAAGAGCUCGUAGGCGGUUUGUCGCGUCUGCUGUGAAAUCUGGAGGCUCAACCUCCAGCCUGCAGUGGGUACGGGCAGACUAGAGUGCGGUAGGGGAGAUUGGAAUUCCUGGUGUAGCGGUGGAAUGCGCAGAUAUCAGGAGGAACACCGAUGGCGAAGGCAGAUCUCUGGGCCGUAACUGACGCUGAGGAGCGAAAGCAUGGGGAGCGAACAGGAUUAGAUACCCUGGUAGUCCAUGCCGUAAACGUUGGGAACUAGAUGUAGGGACCAUUCCACGGUUUCUGUGUCGCAGCUAACGCAUUAAGUUCCCCGCCUGGGGAGUACGGCCGCAAGGCUAAAACUCAAAGGAAUUGACGGGGGCCCGCACAAGCGGCGGAGCAUGCGGAUUAAUUCGAUGCAACGCGAAGAACCUUACCAAGGCUUGACAUGAACGAGAACGGGUCAGAAAUGAUCAACUCUUUGGACACUCGUUUACAGGUGGUGCAUGGUUGUCGUCAGCUCGUGUCGUGAGAUGUUGGGUUAAGUCCCGCAACGAGCGCAACCCUCGUUCUAUGUUGCCAGCACGUUAUGGUGGGAACUCAUAGGARACUGCCGGGGUCAAYUCGGAGGAAGGUGGGGAUGACGUCAAUCAUCAUGCCCCUUAUGUCUUGGGCUUCMGCAUGCUACAUGGCCGG